GAUAACGUUACGAAUACAUUUUCGC
Molecule: small RNA, 25 nt
Filed under: Bombyx mori (domestic silkworm)
Lineage: Eukaryota; Metazoa; Arthropoda; Insecta; Lepidoptera; Bombycidae
Description: ovarian small RNA-16056
Source: RNAcentral